CCUAGGCGGCUGCAGUGGGGAAUAUUGGACAAUGGGCGAAAGCCUGAUCCAGCCAUGCCGCGUGUGUGAAGAAGGCCUUCGGGUUGUAAAGCACUUUCAGUGGGGAAGAAAGCCUUGGGGCUAAUACCCUCGAGGAAGGACAUCACCCACAGAAGAAGCACCGGCUAACUCCGUGCCAGCAGCCGCGGUAAUACGGAGGGUGCGAGCGUUAAUCGGAAUUACUGGGCGUAAAGCGCGCGUAGGCGGUCUGAUAAGCCGGUUGUGAAAGCCCCGGGCUCAACCUGGGAACGGCAUCCUGAACUGUCAGGCUAGAGUGCAGGAGAGGAAGGUAGAAUUCCCGGUGUAGCGGUGAAAUGCGUAGAGAUCGGGAGGAAUACCAGUGGCGAAGGCGGCCUUCUGGACUGACACUGACGCUGAGGUGCGAAAGCGUGGGUAGCAAACAGGAUUAGAUACCCGGGUAGUC
Molecule: ribosomal RNA, 463 nt
Filed under: Vreelandella stevensii
Lineage: Bacteria; Pseudomonadati; Pseudomonadota; Gammaproteobacteria; Oceanospirillales; Halomonadaceae
Description: partial 16S ribosomal RNA
Rfam family: Bacterial small subunit ribosomal RNA
Source: RNAcentral